AGAGUUUGAUCCUGGCUCAGGAUGAACGCUGGCGGCGUGCUUAACACAUGCAAGUCGAACGGAAACUUAUUGAAACCUAGUGAUAUAAGUUUUAGUGGCGGACGGGUGAGUAACGCGUGGGUAACCUGCCGUAUUCUGGGGGACAACAGUUGGAAACGACUGCUAAUACCGCAUAAGACCACAGUCUCGCAUGAGACAGGGGUAAAAGCUCCGGUGGAAUACGAUGGACCCGCGUCUGAUUAGCUAGUUGGUGAGGUAACGGCCCACCAAGGCGACGAUCAGUAGCCGGCCUGAGAGGGUGAACGGCCACAUUGGGACUGAGACACGGCCCAAACUCCUACGGGAGGCAGCAGUGGGGAAUAUUGCACAAUGGGGGAAACCCUGAUGCAGCGACGCCGCGUGAGUGAAGAAGUAUUUCGGUAUGUAAAGCUCUAUCAGCAGGGAAGAUAAUGACGGUACCUGACUAAGAAGCACCGGCUAAAUACGUGCCAGCAGCCGCGGUAAUACGUAUGGUGCAAGCGUUAUCCGGAUUUACUGGGUGUAAAGGGAGCGUAGACGGCAUGGCAAGUCUGAAGUGAAAGCUCGGGGCUCAACCCCGGAACUGCUUUGGAAACUGUCGCGCUAGAGUGCAGGAGAGGUAAGUGGAAUUCCUAGUGUAGCGGUGAAAUGCGUAGAUAUUAGGAGGAACACCAGUGGCGAAGGCGGCUUACUGGACUGUAACUGACGUUGAGGCUCGAAAGCGUGGGGAGCAAACAGGAUUAGAUACCCUGGUAGUCCACGGCUGUAAACGAAGAUUACUAGGUGUUGGCAACCAUAGGUUGUCGGUGGCCGCCGCUAACGCAUUAAGUAAUCCACCUGGGGAGUACGUUCGCAAGAAUGAAACUCAAAGGAAUUGACGGGGACCCGCACAAGCGGUGGAGCAUGUGGUUUAAUUCGAUGCAAACCGAAGAACCCUACCUGGAUUUGACAUACAUGUGGUAGUGAAAUGAAAGUGGAACGACCUUGGCUUGCUAAGGAGCAUGAACAGGUGCUGCAUGGUUGUCGUCAGCUCGUGUCGUGAGAUGUUGGGUUAAGUCCCGCAACGAGCGCAACCCCUAUUGUCAGUUGCUAACAGGAGAGCUGAGCACUCUGGCGAGACUGCCGCCGACAAGGCGGAGGAAGGUGGGGACGACGUCAAAUCAUCAUGGCCUUUAUGUCCAGGGCGACACACGUGCUACAAUGGCCGGCACAGACGGAAGCGACUUUGCGAAAAGGAGCGGAUCCUCAAAAGCCGGUCCCAGUUCGGACUGCAGUCUGCAACUCGACUGCACGAAGUCGGAAUCGCUAGUAAUCGCAGAUCAGCCAAGCUGCGGUGAAUACGUUCCCGGGCCUUGCACACACCGCCCGUCA
RNAcentral lists this ribosomal RNA (1389 nucleotides) under uncultured bacterium. RNAcentral describes it as "bacterial SSU rRNA". It matches the Rfam family "Bacterial small subunit ribosomal RNA". The record is from RNAcentral.